CCUCCUGCGAAGCCCCCCCCCGGGGCGCUGUGCAGCGAGACCGCUCCGGCGGCGCGGACGUGAUGAGUCGAUCAGAUAGACGAGGCCGGAUCCCCGGGUGCCCCGGGCCCGGCCCCUGAGUACGAGGCGAUUCUGAUCCG
Non-coding RNA from Apteryx haastii (Great spotted kiwi), 140 nucleotides. Lineage: Eukaryota; Metazoa; Chordata; Aves; Apterygiformes; Apterygidae. The record is from Ensembl.